Lobosporangium transversale is the source of this 74-nucleotide transfer RNA. It matches the Rfam family "tRNA". From Rfam's summary of the family: Transfer RNA (tRNA) molecules are approximately 80 nucleotides in length. NCBI's taxonomy places the organism in Eukaryota, Fungi, Mortierellomycota, Mortierellomycetes, Mortierellales, Mortierellaceae. The record is from Rfam.
GCUCUUGUGGCGCAAUUGGUUAGCGCGUCUGACUGUUAAUCAGGAGGUUGGUGGUUCAAGCCCACCCAGGAGCG